UCAGAACGAACGUUAGCGGCGCGCCUAACACAUGCAAGUCGCACGAGAAAGGGCUUCGGCCCCGGUAAAGUGGCGCACGGGUGAGUAACACGUGGGUAACCUGCCCUCGAGCGGGGGAUAACAUUCCGAAAGGAGUGCUAAUACCGCAUAAGACCACGAUCUCGAAAGAGGACGAGGUAAAAGCUGGCCUCUAUACAUAAGCUAGCACUUGAGGAUGGGCCCGCGGCGCAUCAGGUAGUUGGUGAGGUAACGGCUCACCAAGCCUAAGACGCGUAGCUGGUCUGAGAGGAUGAUCAGCCACACUGGAACUGAGACACGGUCCAGACUCCUACGGGAGGCAGCAGUGGGGAAUCUUGCGCAAUGGGCGAAAGCCUGACGCAGCGACGCCGCGUGAGUGAUGAAGGCCUUCGGGUUGUAAAGCUCUGUGGGGCGAGACGAAUAAGUGCAACCUAAUACGUUGCAUGAUGACGGUAUCGCCUUAGCAAGCACCGGCUAACUCUGUGCCAGCAGCCGCGGUAAGACAGAGGGUGCAAACGUUGUUCGGAAUUACUGGGCGUAAAGCGAGUGUAGGCGGUCUUCUAAGUCGGAUGUGAAAGCCCCGGGCUCAACCCGGGAAGUGCACUCGAAACUGGAAGGCUAGAGUAUCGGAGAGGUUGGUGGAAUUCUCGGUGUAGAGGUGAAAUUCGUAGAUAUCGAGAGGAACACCGGUGGCGAAGGCGGCCAACUGGACGAAUACUGAC
Molecule: ribosomal RNA, 740 nt
Filed under: Myxococcales bacterium L1978
Lineage: Bacteria; Pseudomonadati; Myxococcota; Myxococcia; Myxococcales
Description: bacterial SSU rRNA
Rfam family: Bacterial small subunit ribosomal RNA
Source: RNAcentral